GAUGAAGAACGUAGCGAAAUGCGAUACUUGGUGUGAAUUGCAGAAUCCCGCGAAUCAUCGAGUUUUUGAACGCAAGUUGCGCCCGAAGCCAUUCGGCCGAGGGCACGUCUGCCUGGGUGUCACGCAUCGUUGCCCCCCCAAACUCCGGUUCGGGCGGGGCGGAAGUUGGCCUCCCGUGCGUGCCUGCGCGCGCGGUUAGCCCAAAAGCGAGUCCUCGGCGAUGAGCGCCACGACAAUCGGUGGUUUUUUUACCCUCGUUCCUCGUCGUGCGUGCCCCGUCGCCCGAACGCGCUCUUGCAACCCUUACGCGUCGCAUCGGUGGCGCUCCCAACGCGACCCCAGGUCAGGCGGGACUACCCGCUGAGUUUAAGCAUAUCAAUAAGCGGAGGA
RNAcentral lists this unclassified non-coding RNA (390 nucleotides) under soil metagenome. RNAcentral describes it as "partial contains 5.8S ribosomal RNA, internal transcribed spacer 2, and large subunit ribosomal RNA". The stretch from base 1 to 122 matches the Rfam family "5.8S ribosomal RNA", at positions 35 to 154 of the family's 154-position model. The record is from RNAcentral.